UGUAGGUGUAGAGCCCUUAUUUGAAUGAAAGGUAUGCAUUUGAUUAGGGAAGCAGAAGCAGAUGUAGCUGGAAAAGCAACGUAUGGGAAACUCCGAGCUAUAGCUAGGGAAGUCAGGAUUCGGUGGAAUAAAAUAAAAAGCAGUAGAGACACGCCACAGCGUCUGGAAUUACCAUUCUGCCACAAAAAACCAGAACCCUGGAACCCAAGUCAUAACAGUUUUGAGACACUGGACAUCGGGCCGCACAGGACUGUUAUCACUGAAGGGAAGGACACAGAUGAGGUCCCGAGCAACUGAUUCGUAUGUAAACUUGAAUCACCAUGUAUCCUGAAGAUGGGAAAGAUCAUCCCUGUGACACAGCUCUCAUCCAAGUUGACGUUUAACUCUCACAAGCUCCUUGCCAGCUCUGCCUACAUGAUAGGCUACCAUCUAAGUGGUAGGCACGUGCAAUCCCCUCGGUAAACGGAGAAAACAGAAAAGGAGUGUGAAAAGGCAGGGGUUAAGGCAUGCUUUGCAUAAACGGCUAUUUAUACAUCUUGUCUGAAAGCAAGAAAAGUGUUUAAUCAGUGCUCUCCAGUAACAGAGGGAGACUAGGCUCUGGGCGGAAAUCUGUGAGAUAGUCGGAGACCAUUUUCAACUAUGUCCUGCUUCUGGUUUCAAAGAUACCUCCUCUCUGGCUGGGGAGUGAACAGUAGCUUUCUGUCUUCCACCUCCCCCCUAGUCAGCUCAUGGUGACUAAAGAAGAAAAGGAUUUCAGCUGGAGAGGACUCCCCAAGAAACCCAACUGAUCCCUCUCAGUGUCCCUUCAACUGUGAAUCUGUAGCUAUCAUUGGAAAGCCAUCCCUUAAUCCCAAUGGAUUAAAGAAGUCAGUGGUUCACAAAAUGACUAUUUCUAGAUCACCCAUGAAAGUGGAAAAUUGGUUUAAAAAUUACAGAUGCCUGGGCAUACUGAAAUUCUACUUCAGUAGGUCUGAGAUAGGCAGACCUCAGGCACAGCGAGAUAAAUUUCAAAACCAUAGUCUUCAUGUCAGUGGAGGACCUUUCCAAUGGCGGCGCUUUGGCCAACAGCAAGGGUUGGUGAGAAUGUUCAGUGGCAAAGCCUUCUCAAAUCCUCCUACUAAAGCAGGUGGAACCGCCUCCCGCCCCCCAGCUUCAGUUGGAAGCCAUCAACAUAUAAUUUCAAAUCAGGAGACAAAAAGGAGACCUUGAGAUGUGGCUUUCGCGCAAUUCAGAGCACAUUCUCCUCUUCUCUGUGCAACAAAAUAAUUGCUUUUCUGGAUCCGACUACUUACACGUACCAUGUUUAAGUUUUUUGGGUCAAAUCCACUCAAAGCAAACAGGAAGUUGCUGCAGAGAUGACGGAAUAGCUUCCGGUUGCAUACCUUGGUGGCAAUGAAUUGGUCAAAAAAGGUAUGAGGGUAGAACAUCUUGUCACCAAAUAACGCCUGCAAGAUCAAUUUGAGAUGCCAUCAGAUUUCAUGGAUGUGGAUGUCAAAAGUGGAAAGUGAGUGGUCAUUCAGCCAAGGACCGGACAGAGGUGAUAUCUGCUCAGUGCUAGUCCUCAGUAAAAUGGAAAGGCCUGGUAAAUUUUGUUUUUGGUUCUCCCAACCCACCUUUGUGGUCUUCUCAACACAUCUCAUGAUUCCCUUUCCCAAGGUCCUCUACUUGGGGUGUUUUUCAGAAUGCCCUCUGAGAAAUUAGCCACUGUAGGAAAUUGAUAAGGCUUUGGAGUCACAGAUACCUUGGUUUGAUUCUGGACUCUGUCUUUGCACCUUAAGGAAGUAUUUAAUUUCUAUUAUCCUGAACUUUCUCGAUGAUAAAAUAAAAAAUUAACAUGCUAUGUUGUAAAGGACUGUUGUCAAGAUAAUAAGUCAUGUUUAAAAGGUACCUACUGAAUCUUCUAGAACCUAGUAAACAUUCCCCAAACAAUAGCUAUUAUUACAAGUAGUGAAUGAUAUAGACUUAAUGAGCCAUUCCUUCCAGAAUCUUUUAGUAAACACUUCCAGAGGCAAAACUUAACCCCCCUAAAAUGAAUCUUUACUAGUGAAAUUUCAGGCAAUGGUGCCAGUGAGUUGAACUUACUUUUUGAACUCUAGGAAUCCCUUCAAAUUAGAACAUACAUUCAUAUCAAACUCCUGUGCAUAUAAGACGAAUCUUACCUUUGCUUCACAAAAACUAGUUUUAUAAUCUUAGGAUAAUAAACUAGAUAUGAGGAUGAAAAAGUAUCUUUUAAUUCUUUUGGAAACAUCCAUUUACAGUAAAAAAAAAAACAAAACAAAAAACAACCAAAACAAAACAAACCUCGCUUAUCUUUUCCUUGGAAUCCUUUAUUGACUGGUGAUUACAACAAUCAAUUAGAUUAGAUUAGAACAAUAAUAACUAGCAUUUAUUUUUAUUGCAUUAGUGCACGAUAAGAUCUUAGGCUAUCUUUGGUAAACUCGAUCCGGUGAAUUCCUCCUGGGUAGAGUUGGUUGAAUUCUGAAUUUGAAAAGUGGUUAUUUUAUAUGAUCAAGGGUAAUCUUCAUUUAAUGGAAUAUUUGAUAUCCCAUGGAAUAUUAAUGAAUCUAUGACACACAGUGACUUUAUCUACCCCUUCCUAUGGGAGAGGGGGAGGGAGGAAGGGAAAAAAAAAAGAGGCUAUAAUUGUUAAGCUAGUUCAAAUCAUAUUUCUUUAGGUCGGGAAGGCAAUAAUUAACCAUGGCAGACAUUAUCUAAUUCAUUCUGGCCUCUUAUUCAUUUUGUCUCAAUCACUGGGACACUUGAACAAUAUAUUAGAUAAUUUAUUAAGCCACUUAUCAAAUUGUAACUCUUCCUGUGUAACUGUCUACAUGGUAAUUAGUAGUAGCCACAGACACAUAGAGAGAACUUUUUUUUGUUUUGUUUUUAAAGAAUGGCUUCUUUAAAAAAAAAAAAAGACUUUAUUUUUAAGUAAUAUCUACACCCGGGGCACCCGGGUGGGCUCGGUCGGUUAAGCAUCCGACUCUUGAUUUUGCUCAGUCGUGCUCUCACAUUUGUGAGUUCAAGCCCCGCAUUGGGCUCUGUGCUGACAACGACUCUCUCUCCCUCUCUAUCUGCCCCUUCCCUGCUUGCUCUCUAUUUCUCAAUCAAAAUAAAGAAAAAUAAACUUAAAACAAAGUAAUGUGUACACAUGGGGCUCAAACUUAAAUCCUGAGAUCAAGAGUCACGCGUUCUACCGACUGAGCCAGCCAGGUGCCCCUGAACUUACCUCUGAAAAGAACAUUUUCAUCUAUUCUGUUCUCAAGUGCAAUAAUCUAAAUGGAGUGGCUGGCACAUGAAUAAGUAGUGAAGGUAGGAAGCAGGGUCUGGUUUUCACCAGUGAACAUUUUUCUUUUUCUUUUUAACAUUAAAAAAAAAUUUUAUAGUGUAUUUGUUUAUCUGGAGAGAGACAGCAACAGUGCGACCAGUGCAGAGCCCAGUGGGGAGCUCAAACUCACAAAACCCGAUCGCGACCCGAGCUGAAAUUAAGAGUCCACUGCUUACCCGACUGAGCCACCCAGGCCUCCCCUAACAUUUUUCGUUUUCAACGACCAAUAUCUUCAUCAUCCACCCUUGGCAGAAACUCCGUAUGAAAAGGAAGUACCAGUUCAGAGAAGUGAGCAACCGUGGAAGCAUGAUCUGAAGAAAGAGGUUAGGGGCACCUGGGUGACUCAGUCGGCUAAGCGUCUGACUCUUGAUUUCACCUCAAGUCAUGAUGUCCCGGUUUGUGAGAUGGAGACCCAAGUCGGGCUGUGCGCAGACAGCGUGGAGCCUGCUUGGGAUUCUCUCUCUCUCUGACCCUCCCCCAUUCACAUGCACUCUCUCUCUCUCUCCCUCUCUGUGUCUCAAAAUUAAAUAAACAUUCAAAAAGAAGAAGAAAGAGGUUCCAUCUGCCAUAAAAGACCCUUGUUCUUUAUUCUGACAGCUGGUAUUUCCAAAUACUGGGUGAAUUAGCAUGGCAGUCGCUGACUUUACCUCUACACCCAUGCAGGAGUGACUCAGCAAAACGGUCAUAUAUUUACCCAGGGACAAAUAACUGCUCCUUCCCCCUAACCUAAAAAGAGAGGAGAGUAACGCAGGCCAGCCAGCCACAUAGCGCCCAUUUGUAUAGCGUGGUAAACGUGGCUUGUAGAAUGUAAUUCCAAGUUCAUUCUGGAGGGGGCGUGUGUGUCCCAUAACAGCACAAGAUUCUUCAAUUUGCUCUUUCGGUAACUGGGUGAAUUUAAAAAGGCACCAUUUCUUUUGGGUACAUGGCUCCAUGCCAGGUCACAUGACUUGCCAAGCUGACCAUGGGCUGGAUGCAGCUGUCCGUGGCUUGCUGAGCGGGGCACCCUAAGGACCCCGGACUGACUUCUUCAGGCUGGCAUUGAAAAGGUGGGGGAAAUAACUACACAGAAGAAAGAGCACCCACCAUCGAUGACCUGGUCAGAUCUGGGUUCAAUUUCUGGUUCUGUGACCCACUAGCUGGGUCAUUCGGGACAGGCUGCGUAGCCUCUUUGAGCCUCACAGUUUUCUUUUAAGAAACGAAGACAAUACUAACAAUGCUCACUGUUUAAACAACAUGUAAGGAGCAAAGGGUCAAAGCAAGCAAGAUACAAGAACACGUAAAUACCCAGGGACCAGACAAGGGGCGGGAGCGAAGGAGGGGAUAAACAACUGGCAAACAGGAAAUCUGAAACGCCAAGUGCUGUGGCUUUGAAUCCAAAAUAAACUCAAUGAAUACUACUAGAUAAUAUCUAGUGAAUACCUGCUGUAGGCCUGGUACUAUGCUUAAACAUGUAUCAUCUCAGUGAAUUUCCCAAACAACUUGACAAAUUUUUACCCAUUUUUUUACUCAUUCAUCCAUGCAUGCGUGCAUUCAUUCAUUCACUUUCAACUUUAUUGAGGAAUAAUUGAUGCCAUAAGACACUAAAUAUCUUAUAAAUGAAAGUUUGUACACUUUGACCUACAUUUCCCCAUUUCUCCUUCCUCCAGCCCCUCGUAGCCACCGUUCUAUUCCCCUUUUCUAGGAAAUUGGCUUUUUAAUAUCAGAUUUUACAUAUAAGUGAUUCAGUACAGUAUUUGUUUUUCUCUGUCUGGCUUAUUUCAUUUGGUGUUAUGCCCCCCAGUUUCACCCAUGUUGCAAAUGGCUGUAUUUCCUUACUUUCUUUUGGCUCUUUAAUACUCUUUAAAAUUUUCCCAUUUUCAUUUGUUGACAAAUCUCUACACUGUUUUCCCUAAGGGUUAUACUAAUUUACAUUUCCACCAGCAGUGUAUAAGGGCUCCCUUUUCUCAACAUCCUUGCCAACAUUUGUUAUUUCUUGUCUUUUUGACAAUAGCCAUUCUAGAGGUGACUGGGUGGCUCAGUUGGUUAAGUGCCUUACUCGAUUUCAGCUCAGGUCAUUAGCUCAGGCUUCAUGAGUUCAAGACCCGCAUCUGGCUCUUGGUUGGUAGCUUGGAGCCUGCUUGGAAUUCUGUUUCCUUGUCUCUCUGCCCCUCCCUCGCUCAUGAUCUCUCUCUCUCUCUCUCUCUCUCUCAAAAAUAAAUAAACAUUAAAAAAGAUAAUAGCCAUUCUAACAGGUAGGAGGUAAUACUCCAUUGUGGUUUUGAUUUGCAUUCCCUGAUGGUGAGUGAUGUUGAACAUCUUUCCAUGCACCUAUUGGCCAUUUGCAUGCCUUCUUUGGGAAAAUGCCCUUUUAAAAAUUGGAUUACUUGCUCUUCUGCUAUUGAAUUGUAUGAGCUUUUUAUAUAUUUUGGUUAUUAAUCCCUUAUCAGAUACAUGGUUUGCAAAUAUUUUCUCCUAUUCUGUAGGUGGCAUUUUCAACAUAUUGAAAUGUUCCCUUUGCUGUGCAGAAGCUUUUUAGUUAGUCCCAUUUGUUUAUUUUUGCCUUUAUUGCCUGUUCUUUUGCUGUCUUAUCCAGAAAAUCAUUGGCCAAGACCAAGGUCAAGGAGCGUUUUCCCUAUGUUGUCUUCUAGGAGCUUUAUGAUUUCAAGUCUUAAAUGUAAGUUUUUAAUCCAUUUCAAGUUAAUUUUUGUGAGUGGUAUAACGUAAGGGUUCAGCCUCAUUCUUUUGCACGUGGCUAUCCAGUUAUCCAAACACCAUGUACUGAAGAGACCAUCUUUCCCCCACUGUGUCCAUAGCACCCUUGUCAAAAUUUAGUUGACAAUAGGAGUGGGUUUCCUUCUGGAUCCCUAACACACUGCUUUAUGUACCUGUUUUUAUGCUAGUACAAUACUGUUUUUAUUACUAUAGCUUUGCAAUAUAGUUUGAACUCAGGAAGUGUGAUGCCUUCACUUUAGUUCUACUUUCAUAAGAUUGGUUGGGCUAUUUGGGGUCUUUGUAUUUCCACACAAAUUUUAGGAUAGGGUUUUUUUUUUUUCUAUUUCUGUGAAAAAUACCAUUGGAAUUUUGAUAGGGACUGCACCGAAUCUACAAUUCACUUUGGGCUGUAUGGACACAUUAAUGGUAUUAAUCCUUCCAAUUUGUGAACAUAGGUUAUCUUUUCAUUUAUCUGUGUCUUUCUGGGUUGUAUCAAUAUAGAAUUGAAUUACCAUGGGCUAAUUUAAUUAUUUCUCACAAACCCAAAUCUCUGGCUUCCGUAAAGAUUAUCUGACUUUUAUCCGCUUUCACUGAAAUCACUGAACACAAGGAUCGCUCUUAGCCCUGGGAGAAGCCCAUAUCAAUAUGGAAGAGAAAAACACACUAAGCCACAUGGACCAAUUCACUUCAGCUGAAUAACUGAUCAGAUUAGUUAGCCGUCAGCCAGCACAGAGAAUCUGGACUUCAGGAUAUUGUCCAGAUUUUGAGGACUUGACAGACUGAGAAUCACUAAAAGCUGGACUUUCAGUGAUGGGGGGAAGGUAUGGUCUGUGCAAAUCAUGACAGCAACAAGUAGCUGAUAUUUAUUAAAAGCUUAGAACGUGCAAGUCCUGGUUCUAAGGGAUUCACAUGUCUGACCUCAAUCCUUAAAGCAGCCCUAUGCGUGGGAACUAUUAUGAUCCCCCCUUUACAGAUGAAGAAAAUGAUUCCCCAAACAUUUCAGGUCUCGGCCAAACUUACCCAGCUAGCUAGGAUCCAACCCCAUGCCAUCUGGCUCCGUGUGGUGAUUUUAACUACUACUCCAUACUUCUCCUGAAAAACCAAGGGCUGCCAGAGAGAAAUUUAACCUACUAGAUUAAACAAAUCGAUUAAUCGAAUCAACAUUUGCUUUAUCUGUGAUUGAGGAAUGACAUGGACAGAAGCCUGUAGAUGUGGAUUUAGACAAUAGCGUAGAAUGGCAUCGGAGUGAGCUCUCUGAACCCUGUUGGUAAAAUUACACCACGGUACGUCUCUAUCGAUAGCUUAUAUCUGUUAUUGUCUCAGAAGUUUAUAAAAUGCCAUUUUGUCUAAGGUUCUCUUCCCUUGAAAUCAGCGAAAACGGAGCUCGUUUUAGUUACUACAGAUUUAAACCCGGAGGAGCCACAUACCUUGACUACUUUUCUGGAAAGAGUUGUUAAUUUUUUCAUAGGACUUUGGGUGUAUUUCACCGUGAUGACUGGAGCCAAUGCGAAAAAUAUCUUAAUCCUUUUAGCCAGCUCUGGAUUUGUAGAGAAUGCUAUGAAAGCUGGAAGGGAAGAAGACACUAGUUUGUAGGUUUCGAACAAGUUUUCAUUCAUCGUACAUGAUAGCAAAAGUAGUCCUAUUAAAAAGAACAACAACAGGAACUGAAAAAAACAACAACAACCUAGAGUAAGUACCAUCUGUAGGAAGAAUUCUCUAAACUUCUCAAGGAUGGAAUUGACUAAUUCAAAAUACAGUGACUUUCCUGUCCCUGGAGAAUUUAAGUCUACUGGUAGAGAGUGUUGCAGAAAGGGUUCAAACACCCACUGUGGGGCAUACCUAGGUAAACCCUGAGGGCCAUUCUCCUUUGGCCACGCUCCUUAACACUAGACGACAUUGGGCUAUGAUUGUGGCUUCCCAUUCAGUAGCUGGGUGGAGAUUUGAGCACGUUACCUCCCCACGCAAGUCUCCGCUUUCCCAAUCUGCAAAUGUGGAAAACAGGAUCCUUCGCGGAUGAAUCUUUUGAAGGUUAAAUUACGUAUGCAUAAAACUGUUAAAUUACGUAUGCAUAAAAAUUAUGUAUGCAAAAAACGUAUGCAUAUUAUUUGGCAUUCUCACCAUUAAAAAAGGAUUUCCAAAUUCAACCAUUUGUAACACACGGAUGAUAGCGAUCUCAAAUGUUUGUAAGUUGCAUGAGAGGUGUGAGGAAGAUGCAUCGCCUAGCACAGGCGUGGAAAGACCUACUUUACGCCAGAAACCUGACUGGGAUCCAGAUACAGAAAAGAGCCUGGUGGAAUGGUGUUGGUAUUGUUGAGGCGUCUAGCUAAUGGGGAUCAGGGAAGGGAGCGAGGUGCCUCGUGGCAUUGCCCACACGGCCUCAGUGCCUCUCGGAACUGCAAAAAACACUGAUGGUGACAUUUCAUCCCCACGAUCUGUAAUUCUCUGCUUUCUUUUUGGUGUCCUCAUUAGACUGCAAGCUCUUUAAGGGAAAGAUGCAUAUGAUUUUUGUCUCUGUCUCCGCAGCAUCUAAACCGGUGUGACAAAUGUGUGUGGUAUACACAAAUGAAUAAUUCUCUCUCCCUCGGGAUUAGCUAUCAAUCUCCAACAAUCUCCAAAUUCAACGG
This is a long non-coding RNA of Acinonyx jubatus (cheetah), 8640 nucleotides long. RefSeq lists it as uncharacterized. The transcript is spliced from 4 exons. Lineage: Eukaryota; Metazoa; Chordata; Mammalia; Carnivora; Felidae. The record is from RefSeq and is a predicted model, not a curated record.